RNAcentral lists this long non-coding RNA (454 nucleotides) under Glycine max (soybean). RNAcentral's name for it is "long non-coding RNA (GMAX_LNC001398)". The record is from RNAcentral. Lineage: Eukaryota; Viridiplantae; Streptophyta; Magnoliopsida; Fabales; Fabaceae.
AAAUGUGUAAUGUAACAUUACUAUUCCAAACAAGCAUGUACGUAUUACGAAGAAACAAGCUAGCUAGGAAGGUACGCCAUGAAAGCACCUUCACAAGCUAGGUAAGGUACGUAGUAGGUUGUUCUUAAUCUUAGGUGAAGUUGUGAUUGAGAUGAAGGUUUUGGAGAGAUGGACCCCCCAAGACGGUGACCAGUGCCUAAUGAUGCCACCUUUGCAGACUGGAAAAGAAAAGAAAGUAUCACGCAGCUGCAACAGCUGUAUGAUUGAGACGAGUGUGGGUUGUUCCUGUGUAGCUAGUCUUCUGCUUCUGCUAGGUGGGGUGCUAUUGCUACCUCAUCGCACUUCCUCUAAUUUUCCAACACAUUCCGCCAUUUAAAAUCACAAUCACAACUCUUCUAACUCUAGAAAACGAUUAUAUAGGGAAAAUGAUUGUUCAACUACAUGAGGAGCGCAC